RNAcentral lists this ribosomal RNA (255 nucleotides) under uncultured bacterium. RNAcentral's name for it is "partial 16S ribosomal RNA". It matches the Rfam family "Bacterial small subunit ribosomal RNA", at positions 524 to 776 of the family's 1533-position model. The record is from RNAcentral.
UACGGAGGGGGCAAGUGUUACUCAGCAUUAUUGGGCGUAAAGGGUACGUAGGUGGUUUACUAGUUUAAAAGGUAAAAUCCGAGGAUUAAAUUCGGGAGUAAAUUUUAAAAAAGGUAAACUAGAGUAUUUAACGGGAUAAUGGUACUUUUAGUGUAAAGGUGAAAUUUGUUGAUAUUAAAAGGACCCGCAUUUGGCGAAGGCUAUUAUCUGGUAAAUAACUGACACUAAGGUACGAAAGCACAGGGAGCGAAAAGG